CCGCGGUAAUACGUAGGGUGCGAGCGUUAAUCGGAAUUACUGGGCGUAAAGCGCAUGCAGGCGGCCGCACAAGUUGGAUGUGAAAUCUCCCGGCUCAACUGGGAGGGGACGUUCAAAACUGUGCGGCUCGAGGGCGGUAGAGGAAGGUAGAAUUCCCGGUGUAGUGGUGAAAUGCGUAGAUAUCGGGAGGAAUACCCGUGGCGAAGGCGACCUUCUGGACCGUUUCUGACGCUCAGAUGCGAAAGCUAGGGGAGCGAACGGG
This 262-nucleotide ribosomal RNA is filed under the name uncultured bacterium. Its description in RNAcentral is "partial 16S ribosomal RNA". It matches the Rfam family "Bacterial small subunit ribosomal RNA", at positions 515 to 776 of the family's 1533-position model. The record is from RNAcentral.